CCCUCGUUGAUCUCUUGGUCAUCGAAGCGGCAGCCCACGGUCUCCCGCUCCAGCGCCGAGGCAGAGUAUCGCGCGGUGGCCAACGCCGUGGCCGAGUGCUCUUGCAUACGUCAGCUGCUCCAGGAGUUGCUUUGUGAUGUUCACAAGGCUACUCUUGUCUACUGCGAUAACGUCAGUGCGGUCUACCUCUCCGCCAACCCGGUGCACCAUCGACGAACGAAGCAUAUUGAGCUCGAUAUUCACUUCGUGCGUGAGCAAGUUGCCCUUGGCCGUGUUCGGGUUCUCCACGUGCCGACGACGCAACAGUUUGCUGAUGUGAUGACUAAGGGAUUGCCUACUCCCGUCUUCGAGGAGUUUCGGUCCAGUCUCUGCGUCUCCGGCGACGCUUCGACUGCGGGGGGUGUUGAGUAUGUAUUUUGUACUACACGUGUAUUGGAGUUGUGGCCCACCUCCUAG
RNAcentral lists this ribosomal RNA (456 nucleotides) under Triticum aestivum (bread wheat). RNAcentral's name for it is "partial small subunit ribosomal RNA". The record is from RNAcentral. Lineage: Eukaryota; Viridiplantae; Streptophyta; Magnoliopsida; Poales; Poaceae.